Molecule: long non-coding RNA, 366 nt
Organism: Dendrobium catenatum
Lineage: Eukaryota; Viridiplantae; Streptophyta; Magnoliopsida; Asparagales; Orchidaceae
Exons: 2
Source: RefSeq, a predicted model, not a curated record
UAUUGUUUUGUCAGUUUGUAUUGACAGCAGCAGGUAGCCUGGCAGAGCAAGUUAUUGAUUCCAUCAGAGGAGAGUGGAAUGGAGGAGGACCUGGAAAAGUUCCAAUAUUUUAUGCAGCAGACACGCUAUCGAUGUUUGUGCUGCGCUUUAUCCCAAAUGUGAGAAAAGAACAGUGACAAGUUCAGCCAACUUCUGCAUCAGGUCUCCUUUUCAUGGUUUCCCUUCAACGGAAAAAUAAUUGAAUCUACAUUACAUUGUUCUCCUAUGGAAACCCUUCUUUGUACAAAUGUUUGAGUAUAUAUAUGUAAGUGUAAUUUUAUACUGUAAUAUGACUAGCUUUUUAAAUGUAAAUAAGGUGCAAAGUAA